This 429-nucleotide ribosomal RNA is filed under the name uncultured bacterium. Its description in RNAcentral is "bacterial SSU rRNA". It matches the Rfam family "Bacterial small subunit ribosomal RNA", at positions 355 to 776 of the family's 1533-position model. The record is from RNAcentral.
UGGGGAAUUUUGGACAAUGGGGGCAACCCUGAUCCAGCCAUGCCGCGUGAGUGAAGAAGGCCUUCGGGUUGUAAAGCUCUUUCGGCCGGGAAGAAAUCGCAUCUUUUAAUAGAGGGUGUGGAUGACGGUACCGGACUAAGAAGCACCGGCUAACUACGUGCCAGCAGCCGCGGUAAUACGUAGGGUGCGAGCGUUAAUCGGAAUUACUGGGCGUAAAGCGUGCGCAGGCGGUUUGCCAAGACAGGCGUGAAAUCCCCGGGCUUAACCUGGGAACUGCGCUUGUGACUGGCAGGCUAGAGUACGGCAGAGGGGGGUGGAAUUCCACGUGUAGCAGUGAAAUGCGUAGAGAUGUGGAGGAACACCGAUGGCGAAGGCAGCCCCCUGGGCCUGUACUGACGCUCAUGCACGAAAGCGUGGGGAGCAAACAGG